AUGGAAUACUACGAUUACGCAGAUGAAAGCGGGCCAGCAUGGAUUGGGAUGAAGCGAGGCCACGGGCGGUCGGACGGCAAGCUCGACGCCGCGGUGACGGAGAAGCGGCAGAAAUGCGACGACAGUAGUUGGAAGGCCGUCGCCGCGUAUGGACCGGUGGUGGGGACGAAGCGAGCCUUGGAACGAUCCGAGGAUUCAUUCGACUUGCCGAUAGAUAAAAGGUACAAGUGCAACUACUGGGAGGACCCUUCUUACGCGCUGAUCCUGGAGCUAAGCGGGGGAAGUAAAGCCAUGACCGCCGCUCUCAUCAAUCAGAGCCAGCGCACCGUCAAAGAGCUCGACGACUGGUGCGACGAGCUUCGGGCGGCGCGCAAAAGCAAGAUGUAA
RNAcentral lists this ribosomal RNA (387 nucleotides) under Triticum aestivum (bread wheat). RNAcentral's name for it is "partial small subunit ribosomal RNA". Lineage: Eukaryota; Viridiplantae; Streptophyta; Magnoliopsida; Poales; Poaceae. The record is from RNAcentral.